RNAcentral lists this microRNA precursor (207 nucleotides) under Oryza brachyantha (malo sina). RNAcentral's name for it is "MIR812 microRNA precursor family". It matches the Rfam family "MIR812 microRNA precursor family". The record is from Rfam by way of RNAcentral. Lineage: Eukaryota; Viridiplantae; Streptophyta; Magnoliopsida; Poales; Poaceae.
AAUAAAUCCAUUUUUCAGAUUUUAGAUAUGAUGUCUUGACUAUUCAUCUUAUUUAAUUUUUUUGUGAUUAAUAUUUUUAUUGUUACUAGAUGGUAAAAUAUAAAUAGUAUUUUACGUGUGGCUAAUUUUUUAAAGUUUUUAUAUAAAUUUUCUAAAUAAGACGAACGGUCAAAACGUUGAGCAUAGAAAUUGAAAAAUAAAGUUAUU